RNAcentral lists this ribosomal RNA (253 nucleotides) under uncultured bacterium. RNAcentral's name for it is "partial 16S ribosomal RNA". It matches the Rfam family "Bacterial small subunit ribosomal RNA", at positions 524 to 776 of the family's 1533-position model. The record is from RNAcentral.
GACAGAGGGUGCAAACGUUGUUCGGAUUUACUGGGCGUAAAGCGCGUGUAGGCGGCUUGGCAAGUUGGAUGUGAAAGCCCACGGCUCAACCGUGGAAGCGCAUCCAAAACUGCUUCGCUCGAGUCUCGGAGAGGAAGGUGGAAUGCUUGGUGUAGAGGUGAAAUUCGUAGAUAUCAAGCAGAACACCUGCGGCGAAGGCGGCCUUCUGGACGAUGACUGACGCUGAGGCUCGAAAGCGUGGGGAGCAAACAGG